Molecule: ribosomal RNA, 974 nt
Filed under: uncultured bacterium
Lineage: Bacteria
Description: bacterial SSU rRNA
Rfam family: Bacterial small subunit ribosomal RNA
Source: RNAcentral
GUGACGUAUCGGAUUAUUGGGCGUAAGAGCUCGUAGGCGGUUUGUCGCGUCUGCCGUGAAAGUCCGGGGCUCAACUCCGGAUCUGCGGUGGGUACGGGCAGACUAGAGUGAUGUAGGGGAGACUGGAAUUCCUGGUGUAGCGGUGAAAUGCGCAGAUAUCAGGAGGAACACCGGUGGCGAAGGCAGGUCUCUGGGCAUUAACUGACGCUGAGGAGCGAAAGCAUGGGGAGCGAACAGGAUUAGAUACCCUGGUAGUCCAUGCCGUAAACGUUGGGCACUAGGUGUGGGGGACAUUCCACGUUUUCCGCGCCGUUGCUAACGCAUUAAGUGCCCCGCCUGGGGAGUACGGCCGCAAGGCUAAAACUCAAAGGAAUUGACGGGGGCCCGCACAAGCGGCGGAGCAUGCGGAUUAAUUCGAUGCAACGCGAAGAACCUUACCAAGGCUUGACAUGAACCGGUAAGACCUGGAAACAGGUCCCCCACUUGUGGCCGGUUUACAGGUGGUGCAUGGUUGUCGUCAGCUCGUGUCGUGAGAUGUUGGGCUAAGUCCCGCAACGAGCGCAACCCUCGUUCCAUGUUGCCAGCGCGUUAUGGCGGGGACUCAUGGGAGACUGCCGGGGUCAACUCGGAGGAAGGUGGGGACGACGUCAAAUCAUCAUGCCCCUUAUGUCUUGGGCUUCACGCAUGCUACAAUGGCCGGUACAAAGGGUUGCGAUACUGUGAGGUGGAGCUAAUCCCAAAAAGCCGGUCUCAGUUCGGAUUGGGGUCUGCAACUCGACCCCAUGAAGUCGGAGUCGCUAGUAAUCGCAGAUCAGCAACGCUGCGGUGAAUACGUUCCCGGGCCUUGUACACACCGCCCGUCAAGUCACGAAAGUUGGUAACACCCGAAGCCGGUGGCCUAACCCCUUGUGGGAGGGAGCUGUCGAAAGUGGGACUGGCGAUUGGGACUAAGUCGUAACAAGGUAACCAAGACU